RNAcentral lists this small nucleolar RNA (139 nucleotides) under Dichanthelium oligosanthes. Its description in RNAcentral is "Small nucleolar RNA Z247". It matches the Rfam family "Small nucleolar RNA Z247". Rfam says of the family: Z247 is a member of the C/D class of snoRNA which contain the C (UGAUGA) and D (CUGA) box motifs. Most of the members of the box C/D family function in directing site-specific 2'-O-methylation of substrate RNAs. Lineage: Eukaryota; Viridiplantae; Streptophyta; Magnoliopsida; Poales; Poaceae. The record is from Rfam by way of RNAcentral.
CCACUUGAAGAUGAAGAACUGGUGACCUACAUCCUCACCGGCCUUGAUCAAGACUUCAAUCCAAUUGUGUCCGCUCUUGUUGCAAGAACGGAACAAGCCCCGGUAAUGGAAGUUUAUUCGCAGCUUCUUGCUUUUGUAA